GAUUUUGUAUUGUAUUUUUAAUUACAUUUGAUGUUCUGAACUAUUAAAAAUACUCGCAUCUUCUUUUAUUUUUUCAGACCUGAAAAAUGGCCAAGCCUUCACAGCCAGGCCUCAGACCACGGUGCCGAGGCGCUCUGACGGAGUCCACCAGGACGAAGAGAAAUACAUACAGCAAGGCAGAGUGUGGAAAGCAGUAGAGAUCGACAACAUGGCGGACGGAGGACGGAUAUGAGGACGGAGCCCUGAAGCCGACACUCCACAGAAUGGGAGUCACAUUUGUGUCAGACUCUUCAGGAACGUCCUGAUGUCCAUGACAAGGACAGAGAUGCAACUGUGUCUGCAUCCAGGACCUACUGCCAGUCAUCUGGAUGUAGCUAAAGAAAGAAGCAGCUGAUGGAGGAAGGCAGAGAGUACUGGUAGCAGAGGAGGUGGCAUUCUGGGAGGAUGGCAGCUAUGAGGGGGUGUCAGGAUGGACUGUGGUGAGGUUGAGACCCCACAUUCCCCCAACCAGAAGCUCAGUGACGUCAGGCCUACUCUACAGGAGAGACGUCGGGCCUACGCUACAGGAGAGAUGUUGGGCCUGUCCUGUACGCAGCAUAAUGUUGGAUCAUGUUUGGACAAAAAAACACUGCCAGAUAGUCCAGAAAUGGACAAGCAUUUAUGUCUUAUUUUGUGUGCAAACAGUAAAAAAAUAAAAUUAAAUAAAGAAAAAAAACUUCUGUGGCUCAUUUAUGUUCCUCAUAUAUGAACAUGUUGCAUAUAAGCAAU
Molecule: long non-coding RNA, 768 nt
Organism: Poecilia latipinna (sailfin molly)
Lineage: Eukaryota; Metazoa; Chordata; Actinopteri; Cyprinodontiformes; Poeciliidae
Exons: 5
Source: RefSeq, a predicted model, not a curated record